CUGGAAUUUUAAACACAGGCACUGCAGAGGCUCAUUGGGAACAAGUGAAGCUGUUCAAGUGCUGAUUAUUCUGGCAGAGCCUGAGAAAAUUAGUUAAUAAUUAGGUGUGAAAUUAAUGUACACCUUCUGUUUUCCUUAGUAGAUUUCCCUUGUUGUUAAUUUGCUUCUGCACCACCAAGGGACAAAGUACAUUUAAAGAACAUACGUGGCAAUGAGCUUAAAGUGUCCCUAGCAGAUCUGGUACGGAAGAUCCACAAGUCUUUAAGCUAUUGCUUUGUGGCCUGUUUUGAAUUUUGUGCUAUUCAGGUGUCUCACUUCAGCUAGAGGGGAAGAGAGGCAAAACCCUUCCACUCAAGUCACUGCUGGUGAAAGCUCUGAGAAGCACCUGCCACCUGGACCAUGACCCAUGCCUCAGUGAGGAACUGUGCCUUCAUCAAUAGCACCAAGUUAGUCCAUUUGAAGUCAGCCUCCAUUUAUAAUAUUUUAACUGAUGGGAGCCCCUGGCUAAAAUGGCAUUCAAAAUCUCCAUCAGUACCAUUCACAUAAACAGGAGCCCAAAGGCAACACAGACUGAAUUAACUGAGGUGAGGUCCAUGUUAAAGCAUGGAGUCAUAGAUUUCAUGCUAAAGUUCUU
RNAcentral lists this long non-coding RNA (634 nucleotides) under Cyanistes caeruleus (blue tit). RNAcentral's name for it is "lncRNA (ENSCCEG00000015025.1)". Lineage: Eukaryota; Metazoa; Chordata; Aves; Passeriformes; Paridae. The record is from RNAcentral.